Molecule: ribosomal RNA, 384 nt
Filed under: uncultured bacterium
Lineage: Bacteria
Description: bacterial SSU rRNA
Rfam family: Bacterial small subunit ribosomal RNA
Source: RNAcentral
AUUGAACGCUGGCGGCAUGCCUUACACAUGCAAGUCGAACGGUAACGGGCCUUCGGGUGCCGACGAGUGGCGAACGGGUGAGUAAUGUAUCGGAACGUACCUUUCAGUGGGGGAUAACGUAGCGAAAGUUACGCUAAUACCGCAUAUUCUGUGAGCAGGAAAGCAGGGGAUCGCAAGACCUUGCGCUGAUUGAGCGGCCGAUAUCAGAUUAGCUAGUUGGUGAGGUAAAGGCUCACCAAGGCGACGAUCUGUAGCGGGUCUGAGAGGAUGAUCCGCCACACAGGAACUGAGACACGGUCCAGACUCCUACGGGAGGCAGCAGUGGGGAAUUUUGGACAAUGGGCGCAAGCCUGAUCCAGCCAUGCCGCGUGAGUGAAGAAGGCC